This 433-nucleotide ribosomal RNA is filed under the name uncultured bacterium. RNAcentral describes it as "partial 16S ribosomal RNA". It matches the Rfam family "Bacterial small subunit ribosomal RNA", at positions 29 to 507 of the family's 1533-position model. The record is from RNAcentral.
AACGAACGCUGGCGGCAGGCCUAACACAUGCAAGUCGAGCGAGGACUUCGGUCCUAGCGGCGGACGGGUGAGUAACGCGUGGGAACGUGCCCUUUGCUUCGGAAUAGCCCUGGGAAACUGGGAGUAAUACCGGAUGAGCCCUUUGGGGAAAAGAUUUAUCGGCGAAGGAUCGGCCCGCGUUGGAUUAGGUAGUUGGUGGGGUAAUGGCCUACCAAGCCGACGAUCCAUAGCUGGUUUGAGAGGAUGAUCAGCCACACUGGGACUGAGACACGGCCCAGACUCCUACGGGAGGCAGCAGUGGGGAAUCUUAGACAAUGGGGGAAACCCUGAUCUAGCCAUGCCGCGUGAGCGAUGAAGGCCUUAGGGUUGUAAAGCUCUUUCAGCUGGGAAGAUAAUGACGGUACCAGCAGAAGAAGCCCCGGCUAACUCCGUG